AUUGAACGCUGGCGGCAGGCCUAACAUAUGCCAGUCGAACGGUAACAGGAAACAGCUUGCUGUUUCGCUGACGAGUGGCGGACGGGUGAGUAAUGUCUGGGAAACUGCCUGAUGGAGGGGGAUAACUACUGGAAACGGUAGCUAAUACCGCAUAACGUCGCAAGACCAAAGAGGGGGACCCUCGGGCCUCUUGCCAUCGGAUGUGCCCAGAUGGGAUUAGCUUGUUGGUGGGGUAACGGCUCACCAAGGCGACGAUCCCUAGCUGGUCUGAGAGGAUGACCAGCCACACUGGAACUGAGACACGGUCCAGACUCCUACGGGAGGCAGCAGUGGGGAAUAUUGCACAAUGGGCGCAAGCCUGAUGCAGCCAUGCCGCGUGUAUGAAGAAGGCCUUCGGGUUGUAAAGUACUUUCAGCGGGGAGGAAGGGAGUAAAGUUAAUACCUUUGCUCAUUGACGUUACCCGCAGAAGAAGCACCGGCUAACUCCGUG
Molecule: ribosomal RNA, 490 nt
Filed under: uncultured bacterium
Lineage: Bacteria
Description: partial 16S ribosomal RNA
Rfam family: Bacterial small subunit ribosomal RNA
Source: RNAcentral